This 481-nucleotide ribosomal RNA is filed under the name uncultured Bacteroidota bacterium. RNAcentral's name for it is "bacterial SSU rRNA". It matches the Rfam family "Bacterial small subunit ribosomal RNA", at positions 355 to 833 of the family's 1533-position model. Lineage: Bacteria; Pseudomonadati; Bacteroidota. The record is from RNAcentral.
UGAGGAAUAUUGGACAAUGGGCGCAAGCCUGAUCCAGCCAUGCCGCGUGCAGGAUGACGGUCCUAUGGAUUGUAAACUGCUUUUGCACAGGAAGAAACAACAUUACGUGUAAUGUCUUGACGGUACUGUGAGAAUAAGGAUCGGCUAACUCCGUGCCAGCAGCCGCGGUAAUACGGAGGAUCCAAGCGUUAUCCGGAAUCAUUGGGUUUAAAGGGUCCGUAGGCGGUCUUAUAAGUCAGUGGUGAAAUCUCCCCGCUCAACGGGGAAACGGCCAUUGAUACUGUAGGACUUGAAUUAUUAGGAAGUAACUAGAAUAUGUAGUGUAGCGGUGAAAUGCUUAGAGAUUACAUGGAAUACCAAUUGCGAAGGCAGGUUACUACUAAUGGAUUGACGCUGAUGGACGAAAGCGUGGGUAGCGAACAGGAUUAGAUACCCUGGUAGUCCACGCCGUAAACGAUGGAUACUAGCUGUUGGGAGCAAU